GGCACCCUCUAAACUCUGCAAACUGAAACUGGAACCAUGGUUACCACAUCCUGUUCAUUUUCCAAUUUAGCUCAACCCCUGUGUCCUGCCCAAUAGAAGUGGCACCAUGGCCCCCAAACUCAUCACCGUCCUGUGUCUGGGAUUCUGCCUGAACCAGAAGAUCUGCCCACAUGCGGGUGCUCAGGACAAGUUCUCCCUGUCAGCCUGGCCGAGCCCUGUGGUUCCCCUAGGAGGACGUGUGACUCUCUCCUGUCAUUCCCAUCUUCGGUUUGUCAUAUGGACAAUAUUCCAAACAACUGGGACCCGAAGCCAUGAGUUGCACACUGGCCUUUCCAACAACAUCACCAUCAGCCCUGUGACCCCAGAACACGCAGGGACCUACAGAUGUGUUGGAAUUUACAAGCACGCCUCAAAGUGGUCAGCUGAGAGCAACUCCCUGAAGAUCAUCGUCACAGGCUUGUUCACAAAACCCUCCAUCUCAGCGCACCCAAGCUCCCUGGUGCAUGCAGGAGCCAGGGUGAGCCUGCGCUGUCACUCAGAACUGGCCUUUGAUGAAUUUAUCUUAUACAAAGAGGGGCACAUACAGCAUUCCCAGCAGCUUGACCAGGGGAUGGAGGCUGGGAUCCAUUACGUCGAGGCUGUCUUUUCCAUGGGUCCUGUAACGCCUGCCCAUGCAGGAGCCUACAGAUGCUGUGGUUGUUUCAGUCACUCCCGCUAUGAGUGGUCGGCUCCCAGUGACCCCCUGGACAUUGUGAUCACAGGAAAAUACAAAAAGCCUUCUCUCUCCACCCAGGUGGACCCCAUGAUGAGGCUGGGAGAGAAGUUGACCCUCUUCUGCAGCUCUGAAAUCUCAUUUGACCAGUACCAUCUGUUCAGACACGGGGUUGCUCAUGGACAGUGGCUCAGUGGAGGGCAGAGACACAGGGAAGCAUUCCAGGCCAACUUUUCUGUGGGCCGUGCAACGCCAGUCCCUGGCGGGACCUAUAGAUGCUAUGGUUCCUUCAAUGACUCUCCCUAUAAGCCCCCAGUGACCCGCUGCAACUUUACACCACAGGAAACACUAAGAGUACUCCUCUGUCAUUCACAGAAUCCACCCCUGAAUCUGACACACCUCGCCCUCAAGGACAGUCCAGCAACCUGCAUAUGCUCACUGGACUCUCAGUAGCCAUCAUCUCCAUUGGCGUUUGCCUCUCUGCUUUUAUUGGUUUCUGGUGUUACAUAAAAUAUCACACCACCAUGGCAAACACAGAGCCCACGGAAGGCCAACGGACGGAUGAAGAGGAGCCUGCAGCAGAAGAGACACAGGAGAUCAUAUAUGCCCAGUUAAACCACCAGGCCCUCUCACAGACAGGAUUCCCUCCUGCCUCCCAGUGUCCCCACUACCUCUCGGAGGAUCCUAGUAUCUACAUCACUGUCCACCAAGCCCAGGCUGAGGCCAGAGCUGCCCCCAGUCUUUGGCACAAAGGGCAUUAAUACGCAAGGACCUGGAUCUAUUCCUAGGAGGAUUUUUUUUCCACGGACAUUCUUCCUCCUUCUGGUACCAUCUUGACACCUCGAAGCUGGCAACAGCAGUGUCUGAAUGCUUGUGGGAUUAUCUUAAAAUUCCAGCACUGCUGAACAGACAACUAGCCAUUCUACAAUUCUAUUUUGAGCAUCCAACCAUUUAAGGUGAUUUGACUCUACCCACACACUCAUCCUGGAUAUCUCAUUAAUAUCAUCUGAGUUAUCCUGAAACUCUACAGACAUGCUUCUGGAAAGCCGAUGUAUAUGCUCAGCCAGUUUAAUCUCUAAAUUACUCAAUAAGGUUUUUUUAAAAAAAUUUUUUUAAAGUUCUGGGGUACAUGCUCAGGAUGUGCAGGUUUGUUACGUAGGUAAACGUGUGCCAUGGUGGUUUGCUGCACCUAUCAAACCGUCACCUAGGUAUUAAGCCCAGCAGGCAUUAGCUCUCUUCCCUAAUGCUCUCCAUACCCCCUGCCCUCCUCUGACAGGCCCCAGUGAAUGUGUUCCCCUCCCUGUGUCCAUGUGUUCUCAUUGUUCAGCUCCCACUUAUAAGUGAAAACAUGCGGUGUCUGGUUUUCUGUUCCUGCAUUAGUUUGCUGAGGAUAAUGUCUUCUAGCUUCAUUCAUGUCUCUGCAAAUGAUAUGAUCUCAUUCCUUUUUAUGACUGCGUAGUAUUCCGUGGUGUAUAUGUACAACUUUAUUUUUAUCCAGUCUAUCAUUGAUGGGCAUUUGGGUUGAUUCCACGUCUUUGCUGUUACUCAACAAAAUUUUGCAGAGAUGAAGUGUAUUCUAUAUCUGAGUCAUCUAAUAUGGUAGCCACUAGCCAAAUAUGGCUUUUUAACUUAGAAUUAGAAUAGAUCAAAUUCCAUGAAGUUUAAAAUUCAGUUCCUCAGCCACAUGGCCACAAUUUGAGUUCUCAGAGCCACGUGUGGCUGCUGGCUGUGGGAGAGAAUAGCAUGAACACAAAAUGUUUUCCUUGUCAGAGGAAGUUCUAGCUGUUCUAGAUUAAAGGUGCAAAUUUGAAGAUGCAGAGCCUAUUUUCUCAUGCAGUGCAGGCUCCUGGAAGAGACCUAAUGUAACAAAACGAUAAUAUUUCACAUCAAUGGUGACAUGUCUUUAUCUUACGAAAUGCGGGGAACAAGCAGAGUUCUCUUGUGGAGUGUCUUAUCACCUCUUAUCCUCAUGCAAAUUUCUGCCAUAGAGAUUUUCUCCCAAACUUUGAGAAGGUCACCUCUGUCAGGCCUCUGAGCCCAAGCUAAGCCAUCCUAUCCCCUGUGACCUGCACGUACACAUCCAGAUGGCCUGAAGCAACUGAAGAUUCACAAAAGAAGUGAAAAUAGCCUUAACUGAUGACAUUCCACCACUGUGACUUGUUCCCGCCCCACUAACUGAUACCAUAUAUUCUGCCCCGCCCAAGAAGGUACUUUGUAAUAUUCCUCGCCCCCUUACCCCCCACCGCCCUGCCCCCGCUCGCCCGCCUUAAGAAGGUACUUUGUAAUAUUCUCCCCCACAACUUUAGAAGGUACUUUGUAAUAUUCUCCCCCACAACUUUAGAAGGUACUUUGUAAUAUUCUCCCCCACAACUUUAGAAGGUACUUUGUAAUAUUCUCCCCCACAACUUUAGAAGGUACUUUGUAAUAUUCUCCCCCACAACUUUAGAAGGUACUUUGUAAUAUUCUCCCCCACAACUUUAGAAGGUACUUUGUAAUAUUCUCCCCCACAACUUUAGAAGGUACUUUGUAAUAUUCUCCCCUCCCCUUAAGAAGGUACUUCAAGGCUGGGUGCGGUGGCUCAUGUCUGUAAUCCCAGCACUCUGGGGGGCCGAGGUGGGUGGAUCACGAGGUCAGGAGAUCGAGACCAUCCUGGCUAAUGUGGUGAAACCCCGUCUCUACUAAAAAAAUACAAAACACUUAGCUGGGCAUGGUGGCGGGUGCCUGUAGUCCCAGCCACUUGGGAGUCUGAGGCAGGAGAAUGGCGUGAACCCAGGAGGCAGAGCUUGCAGUGAGCUGAGAUCGCGCCACUGCACUCCAGCCUGGGCGAUAGAGCAAGACUCUGUCUCAAAAAAAAAAAAAAAAAAAAAAAAAAAA
This is an RNA transcript of Homo sapiens (human), 3586 nucleotides long. It is a transcript of the gene named killer cell immunoglobulin like receptor, three Ig domains X1 (pseudogene), with no coding region annotated. Lineage: Eukaryota; Metazoa; Chordata; Mammalia; Primates; Hominidae. The record is from RefSeq and is marked validated.